Molecule: ribosomal RNA, 252 nt
Filed under: uncultured bacterium
Lineage: Bacteria
Description: partial 16S ribosomal RNA
Rfam family: Bacterial small subunit ribosomal RNA
Source: RNAcentral
CGUAGGCGCAAGCGUUGUCCGGAAUUAUUGGGCGUAAAGAGCUCGUAGGCGGCUUGUCGCGUCGGUUGUGAAAGCCCGGGGCUUAACUCCGGGUCUGCAGUCGAUACGGGCAGGCUAGAGUUCGGUAGGGAGAUCGGAAUUCCUGGUGUAGCGGUGAAAUGCGCAGAUAUCAGGAGGAACACCGGUGGCGAAGGCGGAUCUCUGGGCCGAUACUGACGCUGAGGAGCGAAAGCGUGGGGAGCGAACAGGAUU